This 1058-nucleotide long non-coding RNA is filed under the name Aedes aegypti (yellow fever mosquito). RNAcentral's name for it is "lncRNA AAEL021220". The record is from RNAcentral. Lineage: Eukaryota; Metazoa; Arthropoda; Insecta; Diptera; Culicidae.
UGAGGAAUCAAUCAGUCGGCCGGUGGUGAAUUAUUCCCGAAAAAGAGCGCGUCUUACCUCGUUGUCGCUACGAAAGAAAAGUGACGAAAGAAUGAUGCCUUGCUUGGUCCUGCCCGGAUAUGAGUUGUCAUCGUGCGAGGUCGACAUAACCAUGUCGACUUUGGUAACGCAACUUUCUGACUGAAUCUAGGGUAACAGUGUUACACUGUUACACUGAGUAAUGCAGUUAGCUUAUACCACACAUCUUCCCCCUUCCCAGAAAAAAAACAGAUAUAAAAAUCUUUGAUCACUAAGAACACUUUUAUAUGCGCAAGUUUUGGUCAUCGCACCUUUUCAUAUGUAAGGCGAGAUUUAUCAAGCAUCAAGUAUCAAGUAAUUUUAGUCAUGAGGGAGCACAAAUCCAUGCUCAGCAGCAGGGGUAGGUUUAUGACAUUUGGUAUUUGUUUUUGUUUCAUCCUCAACGAUGUAAACAGUUGAAGGAGGAAAAACUGCUGCUAAGUUACGCUGCAUAUUCUCAAGUUUUUUAUUGAUUCAAUCACUUAAUUUCUCAUCUUGAAGAUCCGCUUACCAUCCGGAAAACUAUGCAUAUGAAGGGAGCUGUUUUGCUGUCGGAUGUAAACAACCUGAUGCAAGUGUUGCGAGGUCAUUGAACUUAAAUUUCACAUCUGCAGUGGAGAUUGUCUGUGACCGACUACUAAAAGAGAGGAUGCUGUUCACUCAUUGCAAGGUAUCUACUGUAGUUCGAGGUCAAUCAAAUGCUCAUUCUCUGAAUUGAUCCGAAGGAUAAAGGAUAUGUUAUGAUCUGAGCUGAAGGCGCUGUUGAAUGAAAAACUGCAGGAUGGACUUCGUGAAAAAGUGCAUUUCAUUGCGGACAAGCUGGAGUUUCUGGUUUCUGGAGUUUCGGAUCAUGGUAUGCCUUUCACUACAUACACUAUAUUACAAAGAAAGAUCAAAUUGCUUAAGGCUUACAUACUUUAUUAAUUACUCUUCUGUUAUUUUCGACGCGAUGGGACUUGAAUUCACCUUUUAAUAAAGUGUGGCAUGUGAUCAUUCAUUUA